CGGGGGGGGCAAGCGUUGUUCGGAAUUACUGGGCGUAAAGGGCUCGUAGGCGGCCAACUAAGUCAGACGUGAAAUCCCCAGGCUCAACCUGGGAACUGCGUCUGAUACUGGUUGGCUUGAAUUCGGGAGAGGGAUGCAGAAUUCCAGGUGUAGCGGUGAAAUGCGUAGAUAUCUGGAGGAAUACCGGUGGCGAAGGCGGCAUCCUGGACCGACAUUGACGCUGAGGAGCGAAAGCUAGGGGAGCAAACGGGAUUAGAUACCCCGGUAGUCCUAGCCCUAAACGAUGAAUGCUUGGUGUGACGGGUAUCGAUCCCUGUCGUGCCGAAGCUAACGCGUUAAGCAUUCCGCCUGGGGAGUACGGUCGCAAGGCUG
Molecule: ribosomal RNA, 372 nt
Filed under: uncultured organism
Description: bacterial SSU rRNA
Rfam family: Bacterial small subunit ribosomal RNA
Source: RNAcentral